CAGGGAAGAUGCAUGGCAUUACCAUCCUUUUGUAAUCCAAAUCCUUUGUAAAGGAUUUUCUGCACAGUCUUCUUCUCAGUUUUCUACUAUAGUUUUCCAGUUUCUCUUUGUGCUUUUGCUUUUUAAGUUUUGUUAGGGUUUAUUUAAGCUCCCAGAGCAUAAAAAUCAACAUAAAAUCUUUAAGAGCUAGUUUACGUUGACCAGCUGUCACAGAAAGAGAGAGAAAUGUGUGGGAUAGUGGUGGACAAUAUGUGCACAGAGGAAGGUAGGCAUUUUAGAGUUGUUAAAUCCUAUUGCUAAGCCCAGGGCUUAACAGGCUUCACAUUUUUUUGCUUCAGGGUAUCAUGGUACAGUGAAAGCAAGCUGAUGGGCUCCAUUAGCAUGAAUGAUAGCUUCCUUCUACACACAAGUCAAUUUGCAGCUUUUACAGAUCAGAGUGAAAUUUUGGCCCCGUGAAGUCAGUGCUAACAUCGUGCUAACUUCAAGAAGGUAUGGGAGGCAGCCCAUCCCUAACAGAUACUAAAACACAGAAACAAACAAAACAAAAAAUGAAAAGAAAAAAAAGGGAGGCAAAGAGAAUACACUGAAGAGGGGAAAAAAAGAAGUGAUCGCCGUGAUUGAAGGUGAGAAAAAUGAUUAAAAAAAGAUAUAGAGGAGAGUCAGUGUAUAAAAAAGAAGGGGAUAGGGCACCCUCACUGCUCCCUUGAGAUGCCCAAGUAGCUGUUGACUACUGACCCAUGGUACUGUGCAAGGAGCUGUGGCAGAGCCAGGCAUUUGUAAAAGGAGUUAUAAUCUUUACCUACCAAGUCUCCCAGUGACACCAGAUAAGUUCAGAAAAUGUGGAGGAUCAUCAACAACAUUGCCUUCUGGGGGUGUGUAGGGAUCUUAGCACUUUGUGUCUUGAGUGGGAUGGACUGAUGAAAC
This 924-nucleotide long non-coding RNA is filed under the name Phasianus colchicus (ring-necked pheasant). Its description in RNAcentral is "lncRNA (ENSPCLG00000014683.1)". The record is from RNAcentral. Lineage: Eukaryota; Metazoa; Chordata; Aves; Galliformes; Phasianidae.